Molecule: long non-coding RNA, 373 nt
Filed under: Phoenix dactylifera (date palm)
Lineage: Eukaryota; Viridiplantae; Streptophyta; Magnoliopsida; Arecales; Arecaceae
Description: long non-coding RNA (PDAC_LNC005671)
Source: RNAcentral
CGAGCGUACUUCAUCUUUCGAGCUCCUGCUUCUUUUGAUUGAACCUACCCGGACCGAACACACUCCGUCUUUGAAGCCUUUGUUCCCUUUGUUGCGUACUAAGGCACGUAGGCUUUUUUCAGCCUUUGAUGGGACAAUCAUCUGACUCUUUCUUCGGCGAAAGAACGCACUUUCUUUCUACAGGACGAGGACUCGGUGGCUCUCCUAUUCCUAUAUCAUUCAGACUUGGAUGACCUCUCUUUCUCAGACUAGCUUGAAGACCUAGGCUUUGACGGUGGAAGCCUAUUCAAAGAAAGCCCGACUUGCCAACUAAUUAAUAAUGCAAAUGCCAAAUAGUCCCUCGCCCUUUAUGCGCCUUUAUAUGCUUAAAGCA